Molecule: RNA transcript, 2979 nt
Organism: Girardinichthys multiradiatus
Lineage: Eukaryota; Metazoa; Chordata; Actinopteri; Cyprinodontiformes; Goodeidae
Exons: 7
Source: RefSeq, a predicted model, not a curated record
UCACUUGUGCGAGACUUUGCGAUUUGAAAGUUUUCCAGUGCUGCCAGCUGUGAUCUUCACCUGUGCUUUACUACACCCACCUUAAAUCAUCUACACUACUGUUACAUCUCAAUCAGAAAACAACACACUGACUAGAUAAACAUAUUCAGACACACAAGACAUUUAUUUUCAAAGCUACACAUAAUAUUCACUAACACACACACAUUAACUCACACACUAUCUUCCCACAAACAGUUUAAUUAAUUUGGAACAUAUUUAAAUGCAUUUCAGAGUUUGUAUUUUCUCUGUUGCUUUGGUCUAGAUAACCUGUUUUUCCUCCCCCAGUUUUCUUCUGUUCUCAUUGUCUUAACAGGAUGCCACGCAAGGGACGACGCUCCGAGGCCGCCAAGAAGAGAUGGAGGACCCUGGACCUGGAGGACCUGCAGGGCAGCCAGCCGGACGUCGCCAAGCCCAGGACAUCACCACCCACCGCGCAGGCUUGGACCCCCACCCAGUCUCCGGAGAAGAAGGUGGAGGGAACUCCAACUGAGAGGACCAGGCCAGCCCGUCACCAGCCCAGGAGAGCCGCCCCCACGUUGGAGGUUGACGCCCCCGCCAAGUCCUCUCCCGUGCCUCUCGAGGACCAUGUCAGGGAUGACAGCUGCCAGGCUUCUUCGUUGGAACCCUGCGCCAGCGGUCCGCCUGUCCAGACUGUGAGGGCCACACAUUGCCAGGCUGACUACAGAUACGGUACAUUUUCCCGUAAUCACCAGUGCACCUGUAUGGCUCUGACAUUUUUAGCGUACCACAGUGAGGGGUUGCAGUGUGACACAGUGUUACUUGACAGAGUACUUGAGCAAGGAGAUGCACUUUAUGUUGGCAUUAAACAGCAGCUCAUGUUGGACGGUAGAUUUGUUGAUAAUCACUUGACAGUUGAAGAGAUGCCCCAACAAGUACUGACAGACGGGAACAUCUACACUGUACACACAACGGGUGUAAGAGUUGGUCAUGUUUUGUGUCAGAAUGAUAACCCUCAAAGAUCACGGCGAAUGGGAUUGCCUCUUGCUUCACAACUAGAGUGUCUGUCUGAAAAUGUCACCUAUGCUUUUCUUUUGGUGAAUCCAGAGUGCAUUGCAGUUUUCCGGGACAGAGACAGUAGGUUUGGAGUUUUUGAUUCUCACUCCAGAAACUCAGCAGGCCUGCCCUAUCCUAACGGAACUGCAGUGGUCAUGACUUUUAGCAACCUAACGCUCUUGGUUGAACAUCUGUACAAACUCUUUGAGAACCGUGGCCCCUAUGCCACGUAUGAGUUUGUACCAGUAUCGUUUGUCAGCGACGACAUUGGUGAUGCCCCUCCUCCGGCCUUGAGCAAUCUGACUAUUUCACCUGGAUCUACACAAGCAAGCCCAGGUGUUGAGAAACCAGAGAGCACUUCUGAUGAAGAGGAAAUGCCAGCUUGGCUUGCUGAAGUUGUAAAGAAGUCCGAUGUCAACCAACAGGACGAGAUGAAAAAGAUCAUGCAGGCCUAUUCAAAACAGUUAGUGCUCAAGAGUCAGUAGCCCAUACAUGUAGUCUACCCCUUAAAAAGUCAUCACGCAGUGUCAUUUUUAUCCAAACUGAUGAAGACUGUGUGAAAAUGAGCCUUCCCAUGAGAAAACUGAUGAACAUGGCCCCAGAUGAAGAGAAUGUUUGGAUGACAGGAUUGCCUGAAAAAUAUCUCGUUUGGAAUGCGUAGCGGAGCGACCCUCAAUCGAUGAAAAUGAAGAACAAGACCCUGUCCCAGAAUACCAAGUUGAUGUCAACAGUGGAGCCAUGCCAGCAAUAGAAAUACCCAAAUUGAGUCCUGAUUUUAUUAGACAAAUGUGCCGUAGUUUAAAUGAGACUCAAGCGUCCAUCAAAAUCCAGACCCGUUCUUUUAUUUUUUGACUGAAGGGGCGGGCUGUGACAAGUCUCAUGUUAUCAAAUGUGUUUACCAGGAAGCAACCAAGCUCUUGCGCCAGCUUCCCUGAAUGUUUUUGCGACAAACAAAGAGGUGGACGCUCACAAUGCAGCAGUUGUGGCUUCUUUAUCAACAGUAAUAGUUGAUGUUCAGGCAGAGGACUACAAGAGGGAUACAAAAACAGGAAACAUGACAAAUCUAGGUAGCUGCGUCAAAGCCAAGAAACGAGAUUUGCCUGACAAUCUACCGGUCGGAUUGGGAAUCAGAGUCAUGAUCAUAAGAAACCUGAACGUAGAGGAUGGUCUUGUCAAUGGAACCUUUGGCACUAUUGCAGAUAUCAUCACCAGGACUAAAGAUGGAAACAGAACCGUGAAGUUAAUAGGACUGAAACUGGAUAGUCCCACAGCUGGCCACACCAAAAAAAAUCAAAGGGAAACCAGACAACUUUGUGUACAUCGAGAGAUUUGAGGAACAAACCAGCAUAAAAGGAGUUGUUCGACAUCAGUUUCCAAUCAAGUCUCCAAUCAAUACUCCAGUCUCAUGGAGCAGUUUUUUCCACACUAUGGACAUUCUCCACUCCGCUCUGUUUGCUUGGCCAUUAUGUUAAUUUGCUUUGAGUGGAAAUAACCGUUUUUUGCCCAGUUUUAGUAAGUUUUUGCAGGCUUGAGAGCAUGCAACGCACGGUAUGACUCAUGAGGGUUCCAAGAAGAGAUGGAGGAGGCUGGACCUGGUCGAUUUGCAGAGCGGCCCAUCAUACGUCACCAAGCGCAGGACACCCCAACCCACCUGGCAGCCUUGAUCCUCCAAGCAGUCUACAGAGAACAAGAUAUGGCUUUCAUUUUGCUUUUAACUGAGUUUAGGAUAAGUUAUUUUGUGUGCUUUUCUCAUUGAAGUAAUUUGUCUCUUUAUGUCAAGGUUUCUGGACUCCGUGCCCCAUGACCAGCUGGAGCGUCAACGAGGCGGGAGCAAACAUCAAGCAUUUGCGGCACACAGUCUGCAACCUCUGGACUUAUGUGGCUAUUUUGAACUUUCCUCCACUUCUCACCAUGAAGGCUCUGAUG